AUGUCUUCCAGCCAUCUACAAAGACAAGAUAUUUUCCUCAUACUGGAUUGUUCUCUCUGUUUGAUCAGUCAAAGAAGAUCAAAGGAAAACCACAAUGAUUGUUCAGCUUCAAUCUCAUAUUUUAACAAUAACCCAGAUCCAGAGUUUGAUCACUUUCAGAUAAAAAAAGGGAUUACUAGAGCUUUACGAGUAGAUUCAAGAACAUCUUCCAAGUGA
Molecule: non-coding RNA, 216 nt
Organism: Vicia faba (fava bean)
Lineage: Eukaryota; Viridiplantae; Streptophyta; Magnoliopsida; Fabales; Fabaceae
Source: the annotation of a GenBank genome assembly